UGGGGAAUUUUGGACAAUGGGCGAAAGCCUGAUCCAGCAAUGCCGCGUGUGUGAAGAAGGCCUUCGGGUUGUAAAGCACUUUUGUCCGGAAAGAAAUGGCUCUGGUUAAUACCUGGGGUCGAUGACGGUACCGGAAGAAUAAGGACCGGCUAACUACGUGCCAGCAGCCGCGGUAAUACGUAGGGUCCAAGCGUUAAUCGGAAUUACUGGGCGUAAAGCGUGCGCAGGCGGUUGUGCAAGACCGAUGUGAAAUCCCCGAGNUUAACUUGGGAAUUGCAUUGGUGACUGCACGGCUAGAGUGUGUCAGAGGGGGGUAGAAUUCCACGUGUAGCAGUGAAAUGCGUAGAGAUGUGGAGGAAUACCGAUGGCGAAGGCAGCCCCCUGGGAUAACACUGACGCUCAUGCACGAAAGCGUGGGGAGCAAACAGGAUUAGAUACCCUGGUAGUCCACGCCCUAAACGAUGUCAACUAGUUGUUGGGGAUUCAUUUCCUUAGUAACGUAGCUAACGCGUGAAGUUGGACCGCCUGGGGAGUACGGUCGCAAGAUUAAAAGCUC
RNAcentral lists this ribosomal RNA (556 nucleotides) under uncultured bacterium. RNAcentral describes it as "partial 16S ribosomal RNA". It matches the Rfam family "Bacterial small subunit ribosomal RNA", at positions 355 to 902 of the family's 1533-position model. The record is from RNAcentral.